This 288-nucleotide ribosomal RNA is filed under the name uncultured bacterium. RNAcentral describes it as "partial 16S ribosomal RNA". It matches the Rfam family "Bacterial small subunit ribosomal RNA", at positions 44 to 334 of the family's 1533-position model. The record is from RNAcentral.
GUGCUUAACACAUGCAAGUCGAGCGGCAGCAGGCCCGCAAGGGUGCUGGCGAGCGGCGGACGGGUGAGCAAUACAUAGGAAUCUGCCUUAGAGCGGGGGAUAGCCCGGGGAAACCCGGAUUAAUACCGCAUGAUGUCGAAAGACCAAAGUGGGGGACCGUAAGGCCCCACACUCUGAGAUGAGCCUAUGUCCGAUUAGCUAGUUGGCGGGGUAAAAGCCCACCAAGGCGACGAUCGGUAGCUGGUCUGAGAGGACGAUCAGCCACACCGGAACUGAGACACGGUCCGG